RNAcentral lists this ribosomal RNA (484 nucleotides) under uncultured bacterium. Its description in RNAcentral is "partial 16S ribosomal RNA". It matches the Rfam family "Bacterial small subunit ribosomal RNA", at positions 29 to 507 of the family's 1533-position model. The record is from RNAcentral.
AUUGAACGCUGGCGGCAUGCUUUACACAUGCAAGUCGAACGGCGGCUCGGGCUUCGGCCUGGAGGCGAGUGUCGAACGGUUGAGUAAUGCAUCGGAACGUGCCCAGUAGUGGGGGAUAGCCCGGCGAAAGCCGGAUUAAUACCGCAUACGACCUGAUGGUGAAAGCGGGGGACCGAAAGGCUUCGCGCUAUUUGAGCGGCCGAUGUCGCAUUAGCUAGUUGGUGGGGUAAAGGCUUACCAAGGCGACGAGCCGUAGCUGGUCUGAGAGGACGACCAGCCACACUGCGAAUGAGACAAGGCCCAGACUCCUACGGGAGGCAGCAGUGGGGAAUUUUGGACAAUGGGGGCAACACUGAUCCAGACAUGCCGCGUGAGGGAAGAAGGGCUACGGGUUGUAAACCGCUUUUGUUCGGGAAGAAAACCUCUGGGCUAAUACCCAGGGGGGAUGACGGUACCGGAAGAAUAAGCACCGGCUAACUACGUG